Molecule: non-coding RNA, 41 nt
Filed under: unclassified sequences
Description: L31-Actinobacteria ribosomal protein leader
Rfam family: L31-Actinobacteria ribosomal protein leader
Source: RNAcentral
GCGGUACCGGUUCACGUCCCGGACCGGACGACCCGGCGACC